RNAcentral lists this non-coding RNA (821 nucleotides) under Proboscitermes tubuliferus. Lineage: Eukaryota; Metazoa; Arthropoda; Insecta; Blattodea; Termitidae. The record is from RNAcentral.
AAUGAGUUUUAUUCUUGCUUUUUCAUUCAGUUUUUGUUUGUUCUAUAUGUAAGUUUUUGCGUUAGUACCUUUCAGUUCUAAAUGGUUUGGAUUGGUGUGUUAAGUUGUUGUUCUCAUUAGUUGUUAUUGGUUGAUCAAGUAUUCUUGUAUCUAGCAAUACGUUUAAGUUUCGGUUAAAUUUUGUGCCAGCAGCCGCGGUUAUACCUUGGAAGUGUUUGAAUGUGUUUGGCGUUGAUUGGUAGUUAUAUUUAUAUUUUGUUAAGAUAUUUUUUUGGAUAGUUUAUUAGGUGAAAUUUUUAUUUUUGUUUUUAUCUUUUUUUUGUUUGGAGGCUAUGAAAUUCUUUUUGUAAACUAGGAUUAGAUACCCUAUUAUUUUUGAAUGUUAAGUGUUUAUUUGCCUGAGUAGUAUUAGUUAUGUUCUUGAAACUUAAAGAAUUUGGCGGUACCUCAUUCCUUCCAGAGGAAUCUGUCUCGUUAUCGAUAGUCCACGUUGGACCUUACUUGGAUUGCUUUAGGUUUGUAUACCGCCGUUUAUUGAUUAUCUUUUUAGAGUUUGAGUAAUUUUCUGGUCUCUUUAUUUUGAUUUAUUUCAGGUCAAGGUGCAGCUUGUUUCUAAGUGAAUGAUGGAUUACAUUGUUAUUUGUUUUUGGAUUGUUGAUUUUGAUAUUAGCAUGAAAUUGGAUUUGGUUGUAAUGAUUUGUAGACUGUUUUCAUGAUCGUGGUUCUGGGGUAUGUACACAUCGCCCGUCGCUCUCGUUCAAAGUUGUUAAUGAGAUAAGUCGUAACAAAGUGGUUGUACCGGAAGGUGCAGCUGGAUUGAU